UUUCCGUAGGUGAACCUGCGGAAGGAUCAUUCAUAAUAAGUGUUUUAUGGCACUUUUUUAAAUCCAUAUCCACCUUAUGUGCAAUGUCAGGGUUGAUUUUUCUCUCGAGAGGAUCAACCCCAAACAUCAACUAUAUCUCAACUCUUUGUCUGAAAAAUAUUAUGAAUAAAACAAUUCAAAAUACAACUUUCAACAACGGAUCUCUUGGCUCUC
Molecule: unclassified non-coding RNA, 213 nt
Filed under: plant metagenome
Description: partial contains small subunit ribosomal RNA, internal transcribed spacer 1, and 5.8S ribosomal RNA
Source: RNAcentral